Saccostrea cuccullata (small rock oyster) is the source of this 346-nucleotide long non-coding RNA. RefSeq lists it as uncharacterized. The transcript is spliced from 3 exons. The record is from RefSeq and is a predicted model, not a curated record. Lineage: Eukaryota; Metazoa; Mollusca; Bivalvia; Ostreida; Ostreidae.
CGAAAGCGAAACAGGAAGUAAUGUCUGUUAAGUCGUUCGUUUUCUGGUUAUGGAAAAGAAGAGGAUAAAAUGGACUGAUUGAUACAGAGAUCCAGGAGGUACUGAAAAAGGGACAAUGCUUCGACUGAAUGUGUCAUCCAUGUACCAGUAUAGACCUGUUAAUGAGGCAUAUCCAAUAAUUCUUACACUCAUGAAGAGUGCGGCAACUCCCAAGUAGUUAAGGAUGGCACGCAUUUUAAAUCAGAUCCUCACUUUUAGGAUGUUUUCCAUGUUCUUGUGAAAAGUGUUUUACAUGGCACCAUUCAGCUACAAAUACUUUGCCGGUGGAACUGUGACAUCAAUCAAC